GUCAGAUUUGUAUCCUGGCGUCAGAUUGAACAACUGGCGGAAUGCUUUACACAUGCAAGUCGAACGGUAGAGGGGGCAACCCCUCGAGAGUGGCGAACGGGUGAGUAAUAUAUCGGAACGUGCCCAGUCGUGGGGGAUAACGUAGCGAAAGUUACGCUAAUACCGCAUACGAUCUAAGGAUGUAAAGCGGGGUAUCGCAAGACCUCGCGCGAUUGGAGCGGCCGAUAUCAGAUUAGGUAGUUGGUGGGGUAAACGGCUCACCAAGCCAACGAUCUGUAGCUGGUCUGAGAGGACGACCAG
Molecule: ribosomal RNA, 300 nt
Filed under: uncultured Limnohabitans sp.
Lineage: Bacteria; Pseudomonadati; Pseudomonadota; Betaproteobacteria; Burkholderiales; Comamonadaceae
Description: partial 16S ribosomal RNA
Rfam family: Bacterial small subunit ribosomal RNA
Source: RNAcentral